RNAcentral lists this unclassified non-coding RNA (143 nucleotides) under uncultured Ascomycota. Its description in RNAcentral is "sequence contains ITS2". Lineage: Eukaryota; Fungi; Ascomycota. The record is from RNAcentral.
CAACCCUCAAGCCUGGCUUGGUGUUGGGGCUCUGCGCCUUGCAGGCCCUCAAAUCCAGUGGCGGACACGCUAGGUCUCCGAGCGCAGUAGUUUCUCCUCGCUCAGGGCGUCCGGCGUGGGCUUGCCUCGCACCCGCACUUCAA